Molecule: ribosomal RNA, 1441 nt
Filed under: uncultured organism
Description: partial small subunit ribosomal RNA
Rfam family: Bacterial small subunit ribosomal RNA
Source: RNAcentral
UUUGGCGGCGUGCUUAACACAUGCAAGUCGAACGGAAAGGCCCUGCUUUUGUGGGGUGCUCGAGUGGCGAACGGGUGAGUAACACGUGAGUAACCUGCCCUUGACUUUGGGAUAACUUCAGGAAACUGGGGCUAAUACCGGAUAGGAGCUCCUGCUGCAUGGUGGGGGUUGGAAAGUUUCGGCGGUUGGGGAUGGACUCGCGGCUUAUCAGCUUGUUGGUGGGGUAGUGGCUUACCAAGGCUUUGACGGGUAGCCGGCCUGAGAGGGUGACCGGCCACAUUGGGACUGAGAUACGGCCCAGACUCCUACGGGAGGCAGCAGUGGGGAAUAUUGCACAAUGGGCGGAAGCCUGAUGCAGCAACGCCGCGUGCGGGAUGACGGCCUUCGGGUUGUAAACCGCUUUCGCCUGUGACGAAGCGUGAGUGACGGUAAUGGGUAAAGAAGCACCGGCUAACUACGUGCCAGCAGCCGCGGUGAUACGUAGGGUGCGAGCGUUGUCCGGAUUUAUUGGGCGUAAAGGGCUCGUAGGUGGUUGAUCGCGUCGGAAGUGUAAUCUUGGGGCUUAACCCUGAGCGUGCUUUCGAUACGGGUUGACUUGAGGAAGGUAGGGGAGAAUGGAAUUCCUGGUGGAGCGGUGGAAUGCGCAGAUAUCAGGAGGAACACCAGUGGCGAAGGCGGUUCUCUGGGCCUUUCCUGACGCUGAGGAGCGAAAGCGUGGGGAGCGAACAGGCUUAGAUACCCUGGUAGUCCACGCUGUAAACGGUGGGUACUAGGUGUGGGGUCCAUUCCACGGGUUCCGUGCCGUAGCUAACGCUUUAAGUACCCCGCCUGGGGAGUACGGCCGCAAGGCUAAAACUCAAAGGAAUUGACGGGGCCCCGCACAAGCGGCGGAGCAUGCGGAUUAAUUCGAUGCAACGCGUAGAACCUUACCUGGGUUUGACAUGGAUCGGGAGUGCUCAGAGAUGGGUGUGCCUCUUUUGGGGUCGGUUCACAGGUGGUGCAUGCCUGUCGUCAGCUCGUGUCGCGAGAUGUUGGGUUAAGUCCCGCAACGAGCGCAACCCUUGUUCACUGUUGCCAGCACGUUAUGGUGGGGACUCAGUGGAGACCGCCGGGGUCAACUCGGAGGAAGGUGGGGAUGACGUCAAGUCCUCAUGCCCCUUAUGUCCAGGGCUUCACGCAUGCUACAAUGGCUGGUACAGAGAGUGGCGAGCCUGUGAGGGUGAGCGAAUCUCGGAAAGCCGGUCUCAGUUCGGAUUGGGGUCUGCAACUCGACCUCAUGAAGUCGGAGUCGCUAGUAAUCGCAGAUCAGCAACGCUGCGGUGAAUACGUUCCCGGGGCUUGUACACACCGCCCGUCAAGUCAUGAAAGUUGGUAACACCCGAAGCCGGUGGCCUAACCGUUGUGGGGGAGCCGUCGAAGGUGGGACUGGUGAUUAGGACUA